RNAcentral lists this ribosomal RNA (245 nucleotides) under uncultured bacterium. RNAcentral's name for it is "partial 16S ribosomal RNA". It matches the Rfam family "Bacterial small subunit ribosomal RNA", at positions 100 to 334 of the family's 1533-position model. The record is from RNAcentral.
UGAGUGGCGGAACGGGUGAGUAACACGUGAGUAACCUGCCCUCUUCUUUGGGAUAACGCCCGGAAACGGGUGCUAAUACUGGAUAUUCACUGAUCUUCGCAUGGGGGUUGGUGGAAAGGUUUUUUCUGGUGGGGGAUGGGCUCGCGGCCUAUCAGCUUGUUGGUGGGGUGAUGGCCUACCAAGGCUUUGACGGGUAGCCGGCCUGAGAGGGUGACCGGUCACAUUGGGACUGAGAUACGGCCCAG